Aricia agestis (brown argus) is the source of this 399-nucleotide long non-coding RNA. RefSeq lists it as uncharacterized. NCBI's taxonomy places the organism in Eukaryota, Metazoa, Arthropoda, Insecta, Lepidoptera, Lycaenidae. The record is from RefSeq and is a predicted model, not a curated record. The transcript is spliced from 4 exons.
GCUUAUCAGAUCUCCGUCACGAUCGUAUCCGUAUCGCCUAUCGUAUCGAGUAUGCGUGUCCUAAUUGUGGACGCCUAUUUUGACCAUAGCGUAUAUUUUAUCGCGUGAGCCACAGUUCGGCCAAAAAUCACGUCCACACUUAUAGAUACUGUAUCUUGAUCGCGUAUCGUCUCGCCGAUCCUAGUAUCGAUCUAGUGAUUCCUUCAGUCAAGAACUCCCCGAGGCAGACAUCAAAAUUCGUCCACACUAGAUCAUUCUGCCGAUCAUGAUACGCGUAUCCGAUACGCGGUUUAUAGCGAUCGGGGUGUAUCAUGAAUCAUGAUACGAAGUGUAUCAUGAUCGCGAUCAUUUUGCGUUCACACUAGCGAACAUGAUACGAUUCGAUGCUACGCUGAUACG